CUGAAGUAGGUCCCAAGGGUAUGGCUGUUCGCCAUUUAAAGUGGUACGCGAGCUGGGUUUAGAACGUCGUGAGACAGUUCGGUCCCUAUCUGCCGUGGGCGCUGGAGAAUUGAGGGGGGCUGCUCCUAGUACGAGAGGACCGGAGUGGACGCAUCACUGGUGUUCGGGUUGUCAUGCCAAUGGCACUGCCCGGUAGCUAAAUGCGGAAGAGAUAAGUGCUGAAAGCAUCUAAGCACGAAACUUGCCCCGAGAUGAGUUCUCCCUGAGACUUUAAGUCUCCUGAAGGAACGUUGAAGACGACGACGUUGAUAGGCCGGGUGUGUAAGCGCAGCGAUGCGUUGAGCUAACCGGUACUAAUGAACCGUGAGGCUUAACCUUACAACGCCGAAG
RNAcentral lists this ribosomal RNA (390 nucleotides) under Klebsiella pneumoniae. RNAcentral describes it as "partial 23S ribosomal RNA". It matches the Rfam family "Bacterial large subunit ribosomal RNA", at positions 2553 to 2925 of the family's 2925-position model. The record is from RNAcentral. Lineage: Bacteria; Pseudomonadati; Pseudomonadota; Gammaproteobacteria; Enterobacterales; Enterobacteriaceae.